GCGGGGGGGAAGGUGCUGCCUAUAGAGCGCCUGGGACGCGGCGCGGGGAGCUGCAGCAGCAGCCGCGGCAGCUGCCGGGCGGCGCGGGGCCGGGCCGGCUCCUGCCUCCCUCCCUCCGCAGGAAUCCCGCUCCGGAGCGCGGCGGGGUCCGCAGCCCGCGCCCGAGCUGGACGGCGGAGGCCGGGCGUGCGGGGCGCGCAGGUGGACAGCUCCGGCAGGGGCCGGCCCAGCUCCCUGCUCUGUCCUAGGGCCGGGGCUCGGGGCAGAGAAGAUGGUUUGACUAUGAAAUGUUGCCUAGGAAAAGCCCUCAUGCUUUCAGGUGGCAGUGUAGAAGCCAAGAACAAAAGUUGGCAGAAAUUAUUUUUCUCUCCGUGAGAAAAUGAAGAGAGUGUACACAUGACUAAGCACAGGAACCUGAAAUACCACAGACUCACUGAACAGCUGUCCCAGUUGACCUGCACCACAAUGAUACACUCACAUUGCUAUGGAUCCCAGAUGUAGAAAUAGAUUUGGGGUGAAGGUAUGGUAUCAUAAUUAACAAAUUUACCUGAUGCCCUGACAGUUCAUCUCACAAAUGGUUAGAAUGCAUUGUGGGGGGUGCAUAUUAUGUGAACUCCCCAAACAUUGUUUGAAUGGUAGAAUGCUUAUGCAUUAACAUAGCAUAUCAAUAAAUACUAAGGUAUGCAAUUAAAUUAGGAAAUA
RNAcentral lists this long non-coding RNA (702 nucleotides) under Crocodylus porosus (Australian saltwater crocodile). RNAcentral describes it as "lncRNA (ENSCPRG00005016529.1)". Lineage: Eukaryota; Metazoa; Chordata; Crocodylia; Crocodylidae. The record is from RNAcentral.